CGGGGUGUGGCGCAGCCUGGCAGCGCGUCUGUUUUGGGUACAGAAGGUCGUGGGUUCGAAUCCCGCCACCCCGA
RNAcentral lists this transfer RNA (74 nucleotides) under Plastoroseomonas hellenica. Its description in RNAcentral is "tRNA-Pro". It matches the Rfam family "tRNA". Rfam says of the family: Transfer RNA (tRNA) molecules are approximately 80 nucleotides in length. Their secondary structure includes four short double-helical elements and three loops (D, anti-codon, and T loops). Further hydrogen bonds mediate the characteristic L-shaped molecular structure. tRNAs have two regions of fundamental functional importance: the anti-codon, which is responsible for specific mRNA codon recognition, and the 3' end, to which the tRNAs corresponding amino acid is attached (by aminoacyl-tRNA synthetases). tRNAs cope with the degeneracy of the genetic code in two manners: having more than one tRNA (with a specific anti-codon) for a particular amino acid; and 'wobble' base-pairing, i.e. permitting non-standard base-pairing at the 3rd anti-codon position. The record is from RNAcentral. Lineage: Bacteria; Pseudomonadati; Pseudomonadota; Alphaproteobacteria; Acetobacterales; Acetobacteraceae.